AAUAGAUACCCCGGUAGUCCACGCCGUAAACGAUGAAUGCUAGGUGUUAGGGGUUUCGAUACCCUUGGUGCCGAAGUUAACACAUUAAGCAUUCCGCCUGGGGAGUACGGUCGCAAGACUGAAACUCAAAGGAAUUGACGGGGACCCGCACAAGCAGUGGAGUAUGUGGUUUAAUUCGAAGCAACGCGAAGAACCUUACCAGGUCUUGACAUCCCUCUGAAUCCUCUAGAGAUAGAGGCGGCCUUCGGGACAGAGGAGACAGGUGGUGCAUGGUUGUCGUCAGCUCGUGUCGUGAGAUGUUGGGUUAAGUCCCGCAACGAGCGCAACCCUUGAUUUUAGUUGCCAACACUUUAAGGUGGGCACUCUAGAAUGACUGCCGGUGACAAACCGGAGGAAGGCGGGGAUGACGUCAAAUCAUCAUGCCCCUUAUGACCUGGGCUACACACGUACUACAAUGGCCAGUACAACGGGAAGCGAAAUCGCGAGAUGGAGCCAAUCCUAUCAAAGCUGGUCUCAGUUCGGAUUGCAGGCUGCAACCCG
Molecule: ribosomal RNA, 540 nt
Filed under: uncultured bacterium
Lineage: Bacteria
Description: bacterial SSU rRNA
Rfam family: Bacterial small subunit ribosomal RNA
Source: RNAcentral